AUGAACGCUGGCGGCGUGCCUAAUACAUGCAAGUCGAGCGAACGGACGAGAAGCUUGCUUCUCUGAUGUUAGCGGCGGACGGGUGAGUAACACGUGGAUAACCUACCUAUAAGACUGGGAUAACUUCGGGAAACCGGAGCUAAUACCGGAUAAUAUUUUGAACCGCAUGGUUCAAAAGUGAAAGACGGUCUUGCUGUCACUUAUAGAUGGAUCCGCGCCGCAUUAGCUAGUUGGUAAGGUAACGGCUUACCAAGGCAACGAUGCAUAGCCGACCUGAGAGGGUGAUCGGCCACACUGGAACUGAGACACGGUCCAGACUCCUACGGGAGGCAGCAGUAGGGAAUCUUCCGCAAUGGGCGAAAGCCUGACGGAGCAACGCCGCGUGAGUGAUGAAGGUCUUCGGAUCGUAAAACUCUGUUAUUAGGGAAGAACAUAUGUGUAAGUAACUGUGCACAUCUUGACGGUACCUAAUCAGAAAGCCACGGCUAACUACGUG
RNAcentral lists this ribosomal RNA (496 nucleotides) under uncultured bacterium. Its description in RNAcentral is "partial 16S ribosomal RNA". It matches the Rfam family "Bacterial small subunit ribosomal RNA", at positions 29 to 507 of the family's 1533-position model. The record is from RNAcentral.